This is a long non-coding RNA of Chelonia mydas (Green sea turtle), 5891 nucleotides long. RefSeq lists it as uncharacterized. NCBI's taxonomy places the organism in Eukaryota, Metazoa, Chordata, Testudines, Cheloniidae. The record is from RefSeq and is a predicted model, not a curated record. The transcript is spliced from 7 exons.
GACGUGUCAGUUUGCUAAGCAAAAGAAAAUGUCUCCAUGCGGCAGCUGCGGAGCACAGGGUGUCUGCCUGGUCUCUUCGCCCCUCGGGUUAGGUCAACGCUGCCGGUGCAGGCCUGAAGAAGCCUAAAAAGCUACAGAAAAGCCAAGAAAUGCACCCCAAGUACUGUAUUAAAAUGAAACAUCCCAAGAGACAGUAUGUCUGGACAAAAAGUAGACCCAGAGAGUGGCAUGUGGUUUGAAGCACUGCAACAUCCCUUUGGACUUGAGACCUGGAACUGCCCUUGACAAGCUAGUUGUCAAGAUACGAGUAGAUCUGGAUACCCCGGCGCAUGAGGGCCCUGCCAUUGAAGGACAGGUCCUGCAAUGACUUCUGCAAUGAGGCAUGAGGUCCACCGGGCCUCUGUGGACAACCAGAGGAGUAGCCAAGAGACUCGCCGCAUGCAAAUAGCGGAAGCCAUGGUGCAGGCAGCAGCAUCAGCAACAUCCAGUGCUGCCUGGAGGGCCGCCCUGGCCGCAGUCGUGCCCUCAUCGCGGAUUGCUCGGAACUCCUUCUUGGGAAGCCUCAGGGAGUGACCCUUUGAACUUGGCUAUGGCUUGCCACCUAUUGAAAUCAUAUUGGCCAAGGAGGGCUUGGUGGUGAGCUACUCUCAGCUGAAGGCUGGAAGACGAAUAAACCUUUUGGCCGAAAAGAUCCAGCCUCCUUGAGUCUUUAUUUUUGGGGGUGGCCCCAGGUUGUCCCUGCCUCCUCUUGUGGUUCACCACCUCAACCACAAGAGAAUUGGGGGCUGGGUGGGAGUAUAGGUACUCAUGCCCUUUAGCUGGCACAAAGUACUUACGUUUGGCCCUUUUAGAGACAGGGCCAGGGAAGAGGGGGUCUGCCACAGGGCAUUAGUGAUUUUUGGAGACCCCUUCAUGAAGGGGUAGGGCCUAGGACAUAGGACAUCAAACAGAGUCCGAGGGCUCUUCCAAUUCCUCUGCCUGAAGCUCCACGUUAGAAGAGACCCUCUUCAAAAGUUCCUGGUGCACCUUGGCAUCAUCCUGAGGAACAAGGAGAGUGGGCCCCGUGGUAGCCUCGUCUGGCGACGACAAGGAUGAUGCCGCUGCUGCGGGAACCUCCAUGUCCAUUGGUGGUCCAGCAGCUCGCUUCCCUGGGUCCUCCUGGACCUGUGAGGUUUUACCCCCUGAAGCCUCAAGCACCAGAGGGGGAUGGGAUACUGAGGCCGCUGGCCUUUGAGGCUCCCGACACAGAUCGGGCAGCCUGGGAAUGUUGGGUGAACCCCCAGGGGUGCCAGCUGCUGCCCUUGGGACAGGUUUCAGUGCUGAUAAUGUAGUUGGCACCACCAGUACUGGGACUUGUCCUGCAGUCAGGGAACCUCGCUCUGAGCCGGAGCUACCAGCAGAGUGGUCAGUACCAGGCUACCAGGAUCUGGCUGAGCGGUAGUUCUUGUCCGACUAGUGCCGGUCACUGAGUCCUGAAGCUGACCUGUCUGAGCAAGAUUGUCUUGGUUGGGCUCUCAGGGACUGACAGCAUUCAGAGGAUCUGCAUCCGAUACCUGGUGAUCCACGCCUCACGCUACUCGACCGGUACUGGGACGUUGACCAGGACCGGGAGCUAUUUUGGGCUGGUUGCCAGGAGGAUCAUCCUGAGUAGAGUGAUCUCCUUCUUGGAGACAGGUGAUGACAGCCGGUGAUCAGCGGUCUCUGGUGUCUGAUUGGUCCCGGGAUCAGUACCAGGUCUUUGGAGACAGUCAGGUCCGGUCCGGUCCUGAAGUUCUUGCCGGGUGGUGCAUGCCCCAGAGGGUCUGCCCCAUUCCACCGGCGAGGUAUGCCUUGAGUCCCUCGAUCGGUGCCCCUGGUGCAGGGAUCAAAGAAAGCUCAGCUUCUUAUUUACAGUAUCACCUGAAAGUGAGAACAGGUGUUUGGAUUGCACUGUUGUAGCUGCCAUUGCAAGGUAUUUAUAUGCCAGAUAUGCUAAACAUUCACAUGCCCCUUCAUGCUUCGGCCACCAUUCCAGAGGUCAUACUUCCAUGCUGAUGACGCUCAUUUUAAAAAAAAGUGUUUAUUAAAUUUGUGAUUGAACUCCUUGGGAGAGAUUGUGUCUCCUGUUCUGUUUUACCCACAUUCUGCCAUAUAUUUCAUGUUAUAGCAGUCUCAGAUGAUGACCCAGCACGUAUUUGUUUUAAAAACAUUUUCACUGCAGAUUUGACACAAAAAAAGGUACCACUGUGAGAUUUCUAAAGAUAGCUACAGCACUCAGUCCAAAAUCUGAGAGGGACAAGGUGUGGAGUAUGCUUUCAGAAGUCUUAAAAGAGCAACACUCUGGAUGCGGAAACUACAGAACCCAAACCACCAAAAAGGAAAAUCAACCUUCUGCUGGUGGCAUCUGACUCAGAUGUUGAAAAUGAACAUGUUGGUCUGUGCUACUUUAGAUUGUUAUUGAGCAGAACCCACCAUCAGCCUGGACACAUGUCCCCUGGAAUAGUGUUUGAAGCAUGAAGGGACACGUGAAUCUUUAGCACAUCUGGCACAUAAAUAUCUUGCGACGCUGGCUAAAACAGUGCCAAGAGAACAUCUGUUCUCACUUUCAGAUGACACUCUAAACAAGAAGCGGGCAGCAUUAUCUCCUGUAAAUGUAAAAAAACUUGUUUGAGCGAUUGGCUGAACAAGAAGUAGGACUGAGUGGACUUGUAGGCUCUAAAGUUUUACAUUGUUUUGUUUUUGAGAGCAGUUAUGUAACAAAUCUAUUUGUAAAUUGCACUUUCAUGAUCGAGAUUGCACUACAGUACUUGUAUGAGGUAAACUGAAAAAUACUAUCAUUUUUACAGUGCAAUAUUUAAUCAAAAAUAUAAAGUGAGCACUGUACACUUUGUAUUCUGUGUUGUAAUUGAAAUCAAUAUAUUUGAAAAUGUAGAAACAAAACAUUUAAUACAUUUCAGUUGGUAUUCUAUUGUUUAACUGUUCAAUUAAACUGAUUAAUCAAGACUAAUUUUUUUAAUCAUGAUUAAUUUUGAGUUAAUCAUGUUAGUUAACUGUGAUUGACAGCACUCAUACAGAGCAAUAUAAACAAGUCAUUUCUAUAUGAAUUUCUAGUUCGUACUGACUUCGCUAAUGCUUUUUAUGUAGCCUGUUGUAAAACUUGGCAAAUAACUAGAUGAGUUGAUGUACUGUACCCCACUAUGUACCCUCAGGAGUACAUCUACCCCAGUUGAGACCCACUUAGACAAAGAUGGUUAUUUAACACAGCCUAUUUCUAUCUGCUAUUGCUCUUUUCCAAGUAUGAGAGUAAUACUGCUUUUCCUCCAACAGGUUCUUAUGAAAAUUCAGACUCUGGAAUCUGUGAAACCUACAUUGACUUAUUCAACUGACGUUUUUGAAAAUUAUCUUUGAAGUGCUGGAGACAAGGUGUUGUGCAAGUUUUCUUUGAGGACAAAGAGGUUGCAUGCAGUGUGAUGGUCACUUAAUGAAAAACGUUCACCCAGGCGAAGAUGUGCUCUGACCUGUCCUGGUUCACAUCCGUCACAGGUGUCACUGCCAGGGUGUAUGUGGAAGGAUAGCACAGUUUCUCCAAUUUUUACUUCAUCCCCAUGUUCCAGAACAUAGGGGUCACAUUUUGUUUUAGGCUACAGAAAAAGAAUUACGCAAUUUUGUCAACUGUAUUUAUUAGAAUAACUGAUAAAAUUCACCAUUACAUGUAUUCCAGGAAUAUUGUUUAUAUGUGAGUCAUUCAGUAUAUUUAAAUUGGUAUCUCGGUAAUCUAACUACAUUUUUAACUGGAACAAAUUUCUCAUAAUUCCUAAUCCAAAAUAAAUAGGAAAAUGUAUCAUAAGUACACCUAAAAACUGAGCAGAAGCAAAGAAAUGAUCAAUGCAUAGAAGAAAAACCACUCAGCAAAAUCAUCCGUGAUUUAUAAUUCAUUUAAAAUGACUAUGUGACUGAUAUGCUUUUCUAUAAUGCAAUAUAAGUACCUAGUUUUCUAAUCACAGUAAGUUGCAAUGCUCACCUGUAGAAUCUGAUUUCCAUUAACAACUGUGCCAUUCUGACUGCCUUGAUCCACAAGAACAUAAUUUUGCAAUUCAUGGUCAAAAUAUACUUCUGCAUGAAACUAGAAAAAUGAUGAAAUAAAAUGUUUCUACUGCACAGCAUUUAGUUUACAUAUUAUCUUAAUAUUCCAGGAUGUAUUUUAGUGGUCUAUUAACAUACCUCUGGUAUUGUAAGUCAAGUCACACUGUCGCAGGCUUUCUGACUUGACCAAACUGAGGAGUGCAUGAACAAAACCUAAUAUUUCUGGCGUACUAAAUUCCAUAUUAUCAGCACAACUGUAUUUGUUGAUUGGGCUGUACAGAUUUACAGUAGGGAACAAUCCUAUAAUGGCAGAGAGAUUGACGAAGAUGACCUCAGAUCUUUUCGGUCUCUAGAUUCUAUGAAUAGGAUAAACCACAAUUCAACUAAAGUUUAUUUUAAAGAUGCUAACCCUGGAGCUUUUUGAUUAUCUUAUUUUAAUCUUUUUAUAAAAAAGGAUGUAAAUGUGAAAGUGAUCCACACAGCAACAAAAUGCUGCUAUGUGUUGCAGGUGGAGGAAAACAGCUUAGUGCCGCUAACUUUCUAUGGUUCCACUGCCAGAAGAAAUAGAAACCUGAUCCAAUGCUCACUGAAGUAAAAAAAAAACUUCAAUUGACUUCAAUAUGUAUUGCACCAAGCCCUUAUUGGUCAAGAACAUAAGUUUAUCUGAUUCUGUGUCCUAUCAGAGACAGACGUUAGGAUUAUCUAUUAAAAACAAAUUUCUUGGGCAAAAUUCUCAGUUUCAUGCCUGCAAAGAAAAAAAUGUCUGUAAUAAGUGACUGUGGAGAUCUAAAAGAAUGAAUAACGCCAUAAAGGUAUGUUAUCUAAAAGGAACUAGAAUACAUUUCUGUUAUUUAUACAAAAAUUAUACAGCUUUGUUUUAUAGGUGAUAUUAAAGAUGCAAAAAAUUCUUUCAAUAUUUUUUGCAAUAAAAGCAUAAUAUUUUAGUAGAAGCCUUCUUUGGCUUUCUAUUAUGUAAUUUUUUUUCUCCAACAUAUGUAAAAGUGUGGGAUUUUUUUUUUUUUAAAAAAGACAGUUAACCUUUUGUAUGCCUACAUGUAUAUGUCUCUUUAAGGAACAUUUCAAAUGUUGGGAAUAUAUUGCUCAUUACUAUGGUGUUAGGAAAAUGUCCUGACUUGCUGAAAAUAAACCGAUGUGUGUUUAGAUUUUUUGAGACUAUAGUCAAUAAAUGUAUUCCAUCACUGUGGCUGCAAAAACAAAUAUUAAAAGAAAUGUGGUUGAGAAGAAUAAAUGAGAGAAAUUAGUCAAUUUACUGCCUUUAUUAGAUUAACUACUGAACUCUGAAGAAAAAUGGUUUAAAUGGAAUAAAUUGGUAAGAAUUCAUUCAUCACGUCUCUGGAAAAAACCUACUGUAUUAGUACUGUAUGUCAUAGUAUACCUAGAGUAAGUCAACCUAUACUGUCGCAACUCUGCAUUUCCUUACUUUCUGUAUUUGGAACCCUCUCUUAAUACUUAUAUAAAAAUAUGUACUAUCAACAAUUUUGUUUAUAUUUAAUAAGCUAGUAACUAAAGUGCACUUCAACUCUGAAAGCCAUUGUUAUAUAGGAUGGAUGCGGCUCUAGGUUUGUUGUUUGUCAGUUAACCUUUGAGAGCUAAUCUGUUUGUACAGGAGUUUUAAACCGUCUAAUUAAAAAUUCCUUCUCUUCCUGUAUUUUUUUUGAAUCUGCUAACUCAUCCUGGAAUCUGCAAGUCAAGCUGGGUUCCUUCUGACUUAUGUAUCACCAGAAAUAAAGAUUCUGCAUUCAGAAUUUAAGUUACCAAUUCUGUUAAUGAUGUGCAAAUGAAAAUAAAAUCCAGCUCAUUCUCCCAGC